UUUCCGUAGGUGAACCUGCGGAAGGAUCAUUACUGAGUGAGGGCCCCUCGGGGUCCAACCUCCCACCCGUGUUUAACGAACCUUGUUGCUUCGGCGGGCCCGCCUCACGGCCGCCGGGGGGCAUCUGCCCCCGGGCCCGCGCCCGCCGAAGCCACCUGUGAACGCUGUCUGAAGUAUGCAGUCUGAGACAAUUAUUAAAUUAAUUAAAGCUUUCAACAACGGAUCUCUUGGUUCUG
Molecule: unclassified non-coding RNA, 236 nt
Filed under: plant metagenome
Description: partial contains small subunit ribosomal RNA, internal transcribed spacer 1, and 5.8S ribosomal RNA
Source: RNAcentral